GAGAGUUAGCAUUGCUAGGUCUCUAGAUAGUGGCGGACGGGUGAGUAACGCGUGAGAAUCUAGCUCUAGGAUUCGGGACAACCACUGGAAACGGUGGCUAAUUACCGGAUAUGCCGAGAGGUUGAAAGGUUAACUGCCUGGAGAAGAGUUCGCGUCUGAUUAGCUAGUUGGUAGUGUAAGGGACUACCAAGGCGACGGAUCAGUAGCUGGUCUGAAGCAGGAUGAUCAGCCACAUCUGGCAACUGAGACACGGUCCAGACAUCCUACGGCGAGGCAGCAGUGGGGAAUUUUCCGCAAUGGGGCGAAAGCCUGACGGAAGCAAUACCGCGUGGAGGGAGGAAGGCUCUUGGGUUUGUAAACCUCUUUUCUCAGGGAAUAAGCAAGUUGAAGGUACCUGAGAGAAUCAGCAUCGGCUAACUCCGUGCCAGCA
This 430-nucleotide ribosomal RNA is filed under the name Hapalosiphon sp. Ind23. RNAcentral's name for it is "bacterial SSU rRNA". It matches the Rfam family "Bacterial small subunit ribosomal RNA", at positions 69 to 513 of the family's 1533-position model. The record is from RNAcentral. Lineage: Bacteria; Bacillati; Cyanobacteriota; Cyanophyceae; Nostocales; Hapalosiphonaceae.